Molecule: non-coding RNA, 1589 nt
Organism: Coffea arabica (coffee)
Lineage: Eukaryota; Viridiplantae; Streptophyta; Magnoliopsida; Gentianales; Rubiaceae
Source: RefSeq, a predicted model, not a curated record
AGCCGUGAAAUAUAACCACGAGGAAUCCUAUCACAAGAGUAGGAAGUUUCUUCCCCUACUCUACUGCCCUUGCCCAGCGCAAACAGUAAAUACACAUAACAACUUACUCUCUCUGUCAUCACUUCUUUUUCUAUUUUUGGGUGUAGAUUAGAAGUGCAAAAUGUGGAAGAAGCUCCAUUCUCUAACUCCACUCUCGACCAACCUCCUCCACCGCGGCAGCGCUUCAGUACCUUAUCCUUCCGCCACCACCGCCGACCCCUUUUCUUCCGAAAUCACUUCCAAACGAAGUUCCCUCUCGCAAUUUUCCUCUCUUCUGUUAUCUCCUCCCCAAUUCCAAAUAGAAGGAAAUUAUUGUUAUUCUUUUCAUUCUCCUCCGUCUUCUAGAGUUUUCCAAACCCCGAGACUCCAUUCAGGGCUCCACGGUCUAAACUCCGGUUUCUUCUGCUCGAUUGCAAGUUCUCCUGCGGCCAAUUCAAAGUGCUGGAAUUGUAAUGCUGUUGCAUCCAGUGCGGUGCCGUUUUUGGUUUGUCACGGUUGUCGCAGCGUCCAACCUCCUGAUCCUUCCAUUGAUUACUUCCAGAUUUUAGGAGUGGAGAAGAAAUACGAUGUCAAGGUCGAAAAUUUGGAGGGCAAGUACAAAGAUUGGCAGAAGAAGCUGCAUCCUGAUCUUGUUCACACCAAAUCCAAGAAAGAACGGGACUUUGCUGCUGAACAAUCUGCGCGGGUGACUGAUGCUUAUCGGACCCUCAGCGACACAUUGUCAAGAGCUGUGUACCUUCUGAAGCUUGAAGGUCUGGAGGUGGACGAAGAGGGCAGGAUUUCAGACCCUGAGUUACUUGCUGAGAUCAUGGAAAUUAGAGAAGCUGUUGAAGAAGCAGCAGAGACACAGGCAUUAAAUCACAUUCAGGCACAGAUAUGGAAAAAACUGGAACAUUGGUCUAAGUCCUUCGCAGAUGCAUUUCAGAGUAGAAAGUAUGAAGAAGCGAUAUCUUCAAUCCAGAGAAUGACAUACUACAAGCGGGCAAAUGAGGAGAUCAUUAAGAAGCUCUAACACAGCUAUGUCAAGAUAGUCAUGUUUUUGCAAAGGUACUCAGUCAUACUAGACCAGACCAAGAAUUUCUGAUAUCCCUGAUGCAAGAAAGGAGUAUACUUUUCUAGAAGGUGUCAUUACUGCGGUGAUGCUUCGACUAAACGCUCAACCAAAUGACUUGGUGGCCAGAAACACAAUCGAGUGGCUUGUGUGAUCAAAUUUUGUGAAGAGACCACAUUUAUCUAUUAGUCUGGGACUUGACGACCGCCAGCUUUCUGCUGCUGCUGCUGUAUAAACCUUAUUGCCUGAUUGUGUCAUAGAUGAACGACAUGUCACUAAGAGUUGCUUCCAGAUUGUAGUAAGAAAAGGCUUUGUACAUUAUAUUCCUGGUGGACUAAACUGGAUUGGCAGAAUAAAUCUCUUAAGCUUUGCUCUUUUAACAACAAAAGACGAAAUUUGGUGAAGCCUGUCGUCGAAAACAAUCAGGGACAAUUUUAAUCUUCACAAUUGUCCAAUUAAUAUUGUAUUACUAAGGAACAUAUGCGAAGUGACUUAAAUG